Molecule: ribosomal RNA, 235 nt
Filed under: uncultured bacterium
Lineage: Bacteria
Description: partial 16S ribosomal RNA
Rfam family: Bacterial small subunit ribosomal RNA
Source: RNAcentral
CGGCGAACGGGUGAGUAAUGCUUGGGAAUCUGCCCAUUAGUGGGGAACAACCAGCCGAAAGGUUGGCUAAUACCGCAUACGCCCUACGGGGGAAAGCGGGGGAUCGCAAGACCUCGCGCUAAUGGAUGAGCCCAAGUCGGAUUAGCUUGUUGGUAGGGUAACGGCCUACCAAGGCGACAAUCCGUAGCUGGUCUGAGAGGACGACCAGCCACACUGGGACUGAGACACGGCCCAG